This 1898-nucleotide long non-coding RNA is filed under the name Homo sapiens (human). RNAcentral describes it as "long intergenic non-protein coding RNA 635". The record is from RNAcentral. Lineage: Eukaryota; Metazoa; Chordata; Mammalia; Primates; Hominidae.
AUAGCAACAGCAGCGUAGCUGAACAUCUUACGGAUGGCCCAGGGCUCCAAAGGCUCGUUUCCUAAGUGAGAGAGAGCCUGGCUGAAGCUGUAUUACCAUUCAUUCUCCAGCCUCCGAAGUCUCAAAGCAUCACUUCCACCAUACUCUAACUGUCAAGACAAACACAAAGGCCCAGAAAGAAGAAUACACUAUCGAUGUUCCUUUUAAACAAGUAUUUGAGUAAAAGCGAUGUUUCCAAUGUGUGUCAGAAAGUGAAUACUUGUAUAUUUCCGCACGGUUAGAGCUGAGCUUUCCGAGCAAAUUUUACUGGGACCCGGUUGAAAGACAGGUCUUGGAAGUGAAAUGAUGACUGACUAGAUGAAACUGCCAGACUGUCUUCUGAAGUGGCUAUAAUAUUUACACUCCCAUCAGCAGUGUAGAAGGGGUCUCACUAUGUUGUCUGGAGUGCUGUGGUGGAGUGGAGUGGCUAUUCACAGAGCCUGUUCUGCUGGGACACAGAAUCACUUGCUCCAUCUCAUACAUUGAUGAUGAUUAAUUUGUAUGUGUACCUUCCAAAAAAGAUGGUUGUGUUUGAAUGGAGGCCUUCUGGACAGGAAAAUAUGGAGAGUGCGUGCUUUGGAUUCAAGACUGGGAAUGAGGGGACCAGAAACCUAUUCUGUGGCUGUUUCUUGUUAGGACUUUCCUAAGCCUCUGGAAAAGUGCAAAGUACAAUUAACAUUUGAGUCUGUCUGAGUCAUGAAGAAAUGGAGAUUACUGAAAAUAAUUCAUUUUGGUAUCUUCUUACAUCCUGAGAGACUAAUCUUUCCAAGUUCAUCUGAGGCUCCUCUUCUCCAUGACAACCUCAUCCAGGGAUUUCUUCCUGUCCUGGUGUUUUAUGACAUCAUCCUCAUCUCGCUUGUAAGGAUAAUAGCCUUCCUCCAAACCUCACACACUUUUGGAGGAGAUCACUUUUUUUAAAGUGCAUGGAAAUGUUUUGAAACAGUGAAAUCUAUAAUGAUAGGUUUCAUAAUUCUAACAUCCACACCAUAUGAAUCACAUCCUUCCUGAGAUAAUGAGCACACAAUUGCCUGGAUACCUGAAGGAAUGGAGACAGCGGCAGAAAACACUGCAGAGAGGUGGAAACAUCCGUUAAUAUUUUAAAAUCCCAUUACUGCUACCAACAAUAAUAAUGGAUGCAUAGAAAUAGAUCUGGAUUAGCUGAGCUUGAAACAGUCCAUCUCACACACACACAAAAGAAUUUCAGAUACAGUGAACCCACAUGUUGAAGCUUUCUAGUAUAAUAAAAAUUUCAACUGUUCUGUUGAAUCAUCUGCCUGAUUGGAGGCUACAGAAAAGAUGUCAUCUUAGGAGUGCUUGCUCUGAGUGAGGCUCAUCUUCAAAUCUGAAUGACCACAAGGAGAUUUGAUUAUACAUGUGAACACCUCAGAAGGCACAGCCCACCCAGAAGGCAGACAGGUCAGGCUGCUUUUUCUUCAUUGCUUGGAUUCAAUCCUCCGGGCGGCUCAGGCUCAAACAUAACUUAAGCAUGAUUAAACUUUAGAAGAAGCUGCCAGGAAGACUGUGAAAUCUUCAUGCCCAAGGAUCCCUAAAAUUAGGAGCAACAACCACUUGGCUCAGACGGUUUAUGGAGGCAAAGGUUUGGAUGGGAUUAGAGAUUUCUAAAUGUGAGUUCGUGUCCUCUGCCAGACCACCUUACUUCCACCAUUCCUCAGCAAAUCAAGAAAAACAGGAGAAAAGACAUGCCUUUCCAUAAGUUAAAUCUAUUCUGUUUUAAUUCUAUAUUAUAUCUGCUGUACAACUUCUUUUGUUUGUAACACCAUAUUGUUGCUAGUAACUGGAAAUUAAUUUUCACAUGCCUCAGCUUAGAAAAAUAAAAAGCAGCCCUGCAUCAAUCCCAA